Molecule: ribosomal RNA, 254 nt
Filed under: uncultured bacterium
Lineage: Bacteria
Description: partial 16S ribosomal RNA
Rfam family: Bacterial small subunit ribosomal RNA
Source: RNAcentral
UACGUAGGGGCCUAGCGUUGUCCGGAUUUAUUGGGCGUAAAGAGCUCGUAGGCGGUUCGGCAAGUCGGAUGUGAAAUCUCCAGGCUCAACUUGGAGGGGUCAUUCGAUACUGCCAUGACUAGAGUUCGGUAGGGGAGUGUGGAAUUCCUGGUGUAGCGGUGAAAUGCGCAGAUAUCAGGAGGAACACCCGUGGCGAAAGCGGCUCUCUGGGACGGUACUGACGCUGAGACGCGAAAGCGUGGGGAGCAAACAGG